UCGAGUUAGGGUCUUCUCAGGCCCGACCUCCCAACCCUUUGUCGAACUUACCACUUGUUGCUUCGGCGGGCCCGCCUCUCUCUCCGGGGAGGGGCCGCCGGAGGACCGUCACAACGUCCUCUGGCCCGCGCCCGUCGACAGCCCCAAUUUUAAAACUCUGAACAAAACGUGUCACAAUCUGAGUAUCUAUUUAAAUAAAGCAA
RNAcentral lists this unclassified non-coding RNA (203 nucleotides) under uncultured Scolecobasidium. Its description in RNAcentral is "sequence contains ITS1". Lineage: Eukaryota; Fungi; Ascomycota. The record is from RNAcentral.